GGGGGGGGGGGGCGGGGGGGCUGGCGCGGGCGGGUCGGGCGAGGCCUUCGGGGCUAGUGGCGCGCGGGUGCGGGCCGCGUGGGAACCUGCCCUUCGGUUCGGCAUCACUCCCCGCACGGGGUGCUCCUACCGGAUAAUGUCUUCGGCCCAAAGAUUUCUCGCCUUUGGCUGGGCCCGCGUUGGAUUAGCUAGUUGGUAGGGUAACAGCCUACCAAGGCGACGAUCCAUAGCUGGUCUGAGAGGAUGAGCAGCCACACUGGGACUGAGACACGGCCCAGACUCCUACGGGAGGCAGCAGUGGGGAAUAUUGGACAAUGGGCGAAAGCCUGAGCCAGCAAUGCCGCGUGAGUGAUGAAGGCCUUAGGGUUGUAAAGCUCUUUUACCCGGGAUGAUAAUGACAGUACCGGGAGAAUAAGCGCCGGCUAACUCCGUG
This 433-nucleotide ribosomal RNA is filed under the name uncultured bacterium. Its description in RNAcentral is "partial 16S ribosomal RNA". It matches the Rfam family "Bacterial small subunit ribosomal RNA", at positions 38 to 507 of the family's 1533-position model. The record is from RNAcentral.